ACCCUGUUAUGGACGUGGCCUAUCACUGUUACCCCAAUGGGUGCAGCUUCGAUGCCCUGGCCUCUAAGGGAGCUCUGUUUCUCAAGGUAGGCGUCCUCGGCUCUGCCUGAGGGCUACACAUUAGCUGUCCCCAAGCCACACAACGAAGUAGGCCACAGACCCUGCCAACCCUUACUCCCUGGGAAUGCUCACUCCCCUGAUGGAUGAAUUAGGACAAAGCUUUUCAUGCAGCUGAACUCAGGCCCCCAGCCCUACUACAUGGGCUCAGGCUGAGGGCUCAGGCUGAGGGCUCAGGGCCAGUUUCUCACAUCGGAGUCACUUUUGCUUAUCUGUAAAGUGUAGUGGGACUGACCUGUGUGUUGAGGCCCAGACAGGAUUGGUGGAAGAGGAAACAAGCCCCAUCUCCAUUUACACAGGGCAGAGACCAGAGUAGGCCAGAGUGCAGGCCAGCGUAGGCACUGUCAGGUCUGCAGGCUAAGACCACACUUGGCCACUGAGGCCUCAAGCUUCUUUGGCCAGGACAGCCCCCACUUCUUUGACCGGGACAGCCCCCACUUCUUUGACUGGGACAGCCCCCACUUCUUUGGCCGGGACAGCUCCCACUUUGGGUUGUCAGCAGCUGCCUUGUCAGGCUGUCUGCCCACCAGCCCCUGGCUUCACUUCAUAGUCACUAAUUAAAGUGAACCAUAAUUAUUUCUGCUCAUUUGGAUGCAGUUGGAGGAGGUUUUAGACCAUGAUAAUUUGGUCAUUACACAUUAUCUUCCACAG
RNAcentral lists this long non-coding RNA (768 nucleotides) under Rattus norvegicus (Norway rat). RNAcentral describes it as "long non-coding RNA NONRATT014647". Lineage: Eukaryota; Metazoa; Chordata; Mammalia; Rodentia; Muridae. The record is from RNAcentral.